RNAcentral lists this unclassified non-coding RNA (417 nucleotides) under soil metagenome. RNAcentral's name for it is "partial contains 5.8S ribosomal RNA, internal transcribed spacer 2, and large subunit ribosomal RNA". The stretch from base 2 to 121 matches the Rfam family "5.8S ribosomal RNA", at positions 35 to 154 of the family's 154-position model. The record is from RNAcentral.
GGAUGAAGAACGUAGCGAAAUGCGAUAAGUAAUGUGAAUUGCAGAAUUCAGUGAAUCAUCGAAUCUUUGAACGCACCUUGCACUCCUUGGUAUUCCGAGGAGUACGCCUGUUCGAGUGUUAUGAAGCUCUCAAAACGCAAUUGGCUUAAAACCUGAUUGUUGUUUUGGAUUUGAACUUUGCCGUGUUAUAACGGCUGGUUUUAAAAGUAUUAGCUGGUACUAGAACGAAUUGGUUCUACUCAACGUGAUAAUUAUCUGAUCGUUGAGGACAUUCCUUUCACGAGGAAUGGCCAUAGUAAAUUCAAUGGACUGCUUCUAAUCUGGCUUUAAUUCUUUAUUGGAUUAACCACUUUUCAAAUCUGACCUCGAAUCAGGUGGGACUACCCGCUGAACUUAAGCAUAUCAAUAAGCGGAGGA